GAUGAAGAACGCAGCGAAAUGCGAUACGUAAUGUGAAUUGCAGAAUUCAGUGAAUCAUCGAGUCUUUGAACGCACAUUGCGCCCCCUGGUAUUCCGGGGGGCAUGCCUGUCCGAGCGUCAUUGCUGCCCUCAAGCACGGCUUGUGUGUUGGGCCUCCGUCCUCCUCCCGGGGGACGGGCCCGAAAGGCAGCGGCGGCACCGCGUCCGGUCCUCGAGCGUAUGGGGCUUCGUCACCCGCUCUUGUAGGCCCGGCCGGCGCUUGCCGACACAUCAAUCUUUUUUCCAGGUUGACCUCGGAGCAGGUAGGGAUACCCGCUGAACUUACGCAUAUCAAUAAGCGGAGGA
RNAcentral lists this unclassified non-coding RNA (345 nucleotides) under soil metagenome. RNAcentral's name for it is "partial contains 5.8S ribosomal RNA, internal transcribed spacer 2, and large subunit ribosomal RNA". The stretch from base 1 to 120 matches the Rfam family "5.8S ribosomal RNA", at positions 35 to 154 of the family's 154-position model. The record is from RNAcentral.